GACUCUGUGGCGAAACGGUAGCGCGUCUGCCUCCAGAUCAGAAGGUUGCGUGUUCAAAUCACGUCAGUGUUU
This 72-nucleotide transfer RNA is filed under the name Perca fluviatilis (European perch). It matches the Rfam family "tRNA". Rfam says of the family: Transfer RNA (tRNA) molecules are approximately 80 nucleotides in length. Their secondary structure includes four short double-helical elements and three loops (D, anti-codon, and T loops). The record is from Rfam by way of RNAcentral. Lineage: Eukaryota; Metazoa; Chordata; Actinopteri; Perciformes; Percidae.